AUUGAACGCUGGCGGCAGGCCUAACACAUGCAAGUCGAGCGCGCGGCGGACGGGUGAGUAAAAUCUCGGAAACUGCCUCAUGGAGGGGGAUAACAACUGUAAACGGUAGCGAAUACCGCAUACCCUCAGAUGUGCCCACAUGGGAUUCGCUAGUAGGGGGGGUAACGGCGCACCUAGGCGACGAUCCCUAGCUGGUCUGAGAGGAUGACCAGCCACACUGGAACUGAGACACGGUCCAGACUCCUACGGGAGGCAGCAGUGGGGAAUAUUGCACAAUGGGCGCAAGCCUGAUACAGCCAUGCCGCGUGUGUGAAGAAGGCCUUCGGGUUGUAAAGCACUUUCAGCGGGGAGGCGUUACCCGCAGAAGAAGCACCGGCUAACUCCGUGCCAGCAGCCGCGGUAAUAC
Molecule: ribosomal RNA, 406 nt
Filed under: uncultured bacterium
Lineage: Bacteria
Description: partial 16S ribosomal RNA
Rfam family: Bacterial small subunit ribosomal RNA
Source: RNAcentral